Long non-coding RNA from Panthera uncia (snow leopard), 970 nucleotides. RefSeq lists it as uncharacterized. The transcript is spliced from 3 exons. The record is from RefSeq and is a predicted model, not a curated record. NCBI's taxonomy places the organism in Eukaryota, Metazoa, Chordata, Mammalia, Carnivora, Felidae.
GAUAAUGAUUGGCCUGAAAUGUUUCUUAUUUGGGAUCAUUGAGAUUUUUCUUUACUGGCACUCUGACUUCAGGAAUCUUUUAUUCUGCUUUUAUAUUGGUUACCCGUUCUGGGCUGCAGCAUCUUUCAUCAUAUCUGGAUCUUUGACCAUCUCAUGUACAAGAAAACAAACAAAAUUUCUGAUCGAAGUCAGUAUUGGAGCUAACAUUAUCAGCACACUACUUUCAAGCACUGGGAUAAUUCUUCUCUCCGUGAAUUUAGUUGACAUAGUCUUACUUGAAUGCUGGGAGUUACCGGCAUGUUCGUUGGUUAAAUCUUUUAUAACUGUAAGUACUAAUUUGUUGGAUGGUGUCUUCACACGUGAUGUUUGUUUUCAGCUACCUCAGCCCUCAGCGACUAAAAGCCUAUGAUGAAGUUUCUAAACGUUGAAAAGUGAUAGGAAAACAAAUAAAUAUAAACAUGACAGUUGUUUUAAAAAAAAGUGAAACAACCUGAUUUCAGAAUUGCAGAAUUAUGUGUGUGCAUUUCUGUGUGUCAUUUUAAGAACACGUAUUCUUAUUAUUCCAGAUUUUCUCUGAUGAACAUGGGCUGUUCUAAAAAAAAAUGAUAAAAAGACUGCUCACAGAUCAGUGUGCCCAGAGAGGAGGGACCUGAUCUGGAACAUUGAGGACUGGCCUAUGGAUUUCUGGUAGUGAAAAUGAUACAAAAUUUGGGAGCUGGUCUGAGUCAUUUUAAUGUUAAUUUAAAAGAUCAAUGGAGGGGCGCCUGGGUGGCUCAGUCAGUUGAGCAUCUGACUCUUGAUUUCAGCUCAGGUCAUGAUCCCAGGCUCAUGGGAUUGAGCCCUGCAUCGGGCUCUGCACUGAGUGUGGAGCCUGCUUGGGAUUCUCUCUCUCUCUUCCUCUGCCUCUCUCCCCAUGCUCUCUCUCUAUCUCUCUAAAAUAAAAAAAUUAAAAAAUAAAUAAAAAAAUAAA